UACGUAGGGUGCGAGCGUUAAUCGGAAUUACUGGGCGUAAAGCGUGCGCAGGCGGUUUGAUAAGACAGGCGUGAAAUCCCCGAGCUUAACUUGGGAAUGGCGCUUGUGACUGUCAGGCUAGAGUGCGUCAGAGGGGGGUAGAAUUCCACGGUGUAGCAGUGAAAUGCGUAGAGAUGUGGAGGAAUACCGAUGGCGAAGGCAGCCCCCUGGGACGUGACUGACGCUCAUGCACGAAAGCGUGGGGAGCAAACAGG
Molecule: ribosomal RNA, 254 nt
Filed under: uncultured bacterium
Lineage: Bacteria
Description: partial 16S ribosomal RNA
Rfam family: Bacterial small subunit ribosomal RNA
Source: RNAcentral